This 223-nucleotide ribosomal RNA is filed under the name Escherichia coli. Its description in RNAcentral is "partial 16S ribosomal RNA". It matches the Rfam family "Bacterial small subunit ribosomal RNA", at positions 1 to 220 of the family's 1533-position model. The record is from RNAcentral. RNAcentral also lists the same sequence under 1 other name. Lineage: Bacteria; Pseudomonadati; Pseudomonadota; Gammaproteobacteria; Enterobacterales; Enterobacteriaceae.
AAAUUGAAGAGUUUGAUCAUGGCUCAGAUUGAACGCUGGCGGCAGGCCUAACACAUGCAAGUCGAACGGUAACAGGAAGAAGCUUGCUUCUUUGCUGACGAGUGGCGGACGGGUGAGUAAUGUCUGGGAAACUGCCUGAUGGAGGGGGAUAACUACUGGAAACGGUAGCUAAUACCGCAUAACGUCGCAAGACCAAAGAGGGGGACCUUCGGGCCUCUUGCCA